CCUACGGGAGGCUGCAGUGGGGGAUAUUGCACAAUGGGGGGAACCCUGAUGCAGCGACGCCGCGUGGGUGAAGAAGCGCCUCGGCGCGUAAAGCUCUGUCAGCAGGGAAGAAAAUGACGGUACCUGAAGAAGAAGCCCCGGCUAACUACGUGCCAGCAGCCGCGGUAAUACGUAGGGGGCAAGCGUUAUCCGGAUUUACUGGGUGUAUAGGGGGCGCAGACGCCGAUGCAAGCCAGGAGUGAAAGCCCGGGGCCCAACCCCGGGACUGCUCUUGGAACUGCGUGGCUGGAGUGCAGGAAGGGCAGGCAGAAUUCCUGGUGUCGCGGUGAAAUGCGUAGAUAUCAGGAGGAACCCCGGCGGCGAAGGCGGCCUGCUGGACCGCGACUGACGUUGAGGCUCGAAAGCGUGGGGAGCGAACAGGAUUAGAUACCCUGGUAGUC
Molecule: ribosomal RNA, 440 nt
Filed under: uncultured bacterium
Lineage: Bacteria
Description: partial 16S ribosomal RNA
Rfam family: Bacterial small subunit ribosomal RNA
Source: RNAcentral